CUUUUAAAGUCACGCUUCUUGAUCAGUUUCUCCGACGACUGUGUUAUAGUUUCUCUCGCGGCUCACUUCGCGCCUCCAUCGCUGUCGUCGCUCGCUCAACUUGCUCUCACUUUCGUGCUCCGGUGACGGUGAGAUGGAAGAAACUGAUUCAAAGAUGUGGCCUGAGUUAAUAGCUAAAGCUUUCAUAGAUAUUAUGGCUAAAGUUCAAAUGAGUGAAGCACUUGCAAUAAAGGCUGAAGCAAAUAAAGGUGAGAGAAGUAAGGAGGCCACUUCUUCUUCACCAGAUUAUUCUCUUGCCAAGUGUGUGAUUGCUCUUAAUGAGAUGGCAUACCUUCAAGAAGAUGCUUAUAUGGAAGCCUUGAAAACCCUGAAGAACGACCCUGAAUGGAGAGAAAUUUUUCUUAACAUGACACUUUACAGGAAAAGGCAAUGGGUACUUCGUGUUUAUAGUGGACAGUUAUGAGUCUUUAUUUUGUUAUUGAACUUUACGAUUAUGUCACUAAACUUAUGAGUAGUUUGUGUUGGAGAUCGGAUUUAUGAGCCUUUAUUCUAUUAUGGAACUCUAUGGUUAUGUCAUUAAAUUUAUACUAUUAUAGAAUUGGCUGUACUUGAUAGUUA
Prosopis cineraria is the source of this 618-nucleotide long non-coding RNA. RefSeq lists it as uncharacterized. Lineage: Eukaryota; Viridiplantae; Streptophyta; Magnoliopsida; Fabales; Fabaceae. The transcript has 2 exons. The record is from RefSeq and is a predicted model, not a curated record.